RNAcentral lists this ribosomal RNA (465 nucleotides) under uncultured bacterium. RNAcentral describes it as "partial 16S ribosomal RNA". It matches the Rfam family "Bacterial small subunit ribosomal RNA", at positions 28 to 507 of the family's 1533-position model. The record is from RNAcentral.
GACGAACGCUGGCGGCGUGCUUAACACAUGCAAGUCGAACGGAAAGGCCCUGCUUGCAGGGUACUCGAGUGGCGAACGGGUGAGUAACACGUGGGUGAUCUGCCCUGCACUUCGGGAUAAGCCUGGGAAACUGGGUCUAAUACCGGAUAGGAGCCAUUUUUAGUGUGAUGGUUGGAAAGUUUUUUCGGUGUAGGAUGAGCUCGCGGCCUAUCAGCUUGUUGGUGGGGUAAUGGCCUACCAAGGCGGCGACGGGUAGCCGGCCUGAGAGGGUGGACGGCCACAUUGGGACUGAGGGACGGCCCAGACACCUACGGGAGGCAGCAGUGGGGAAUAUUGCACAAUGGGCGCAAGCCUGAUGCAGCGACGCCGCGUGGGGGAUGACGGCCUUCGGGUUGUAAACUCCUUUCGCUAGGGACGAAGCAUUUUGUGACGGUACCUAGAUAAGAAGCACCGGCUAACUACGUG